GACGAACGCUGGCGGCGUGCUUAACACAUGCAAGUCGAACGGAAAGGCCCUGCUUUUGUGGGGUGCUCGAGUGGCGAACGGGUGAGUAACACGUGAGUAACCUGCCCUUGACUUUGGGAUAACUUCAGGAAACUGGGGCUAAUACCGGAUAGGAGCUCCUGCUGCAUGGUGGGGGUUGGAAAGUUUCGGCGGUUGGGGAUGGACUCGCGGCUUAUCAGCUUGUUGGUGGGGUAGUGGCUUACCAAGGCUUUGACGGGUAGCCGGCCUGAGAGGGUGACCGGCAACAUUGGGACUGAGAUACGGCCCAGACUCCUACGGGAGGCAGCAGUGGGGAAUAUUGCACAAUGGGCGGAAGCCUGAUGCAGCAACGCCGCGUGCGGGAUGACGGCCUUCGGGUUGUAAACCGCUUUCGACUGUGACGAAGCGUGAGUGACGGUAAUGGGUAAAGAAGCACCGGCUAACUACGUG
RNAcentral lists this ribosomal RNA (468 nucleotides) under uncultured bacterium. RNAcentral describes it as "partial 16S ribosomal RNA". It matches the Rfam family "Bacterial small subunit ribosomal RNA", at positions 28 to 507 of the family's 1533-position model. The record is from RNAcentral.